This is a non-coding RNA of Phrynosoma platyrhinos (Desert horned lizard), 72 nucleotides long. NCBI's taxonomy places the organism in Eukaryota, Metazoa, Chordata, Lepidosauria, Squamata, Phrynosomatidae. The record is from the annotation of a GenBank genome assembly.
GCCACUGUGGUGUAGUGGUUUGAAUGUUGGACUCUGACUCUGGAAAUCAGGGUUAAAAUCCCUGCUUGAGUG